GAUGUCAUCUGAGCUAAGUGUUAUGAGAUGAGAGUGGAACUCAAGUUAAUAAACCGCUGCCUUGCAGGAGAAGAGAACUUGUUCACAUGUAAUCCUCUGUACAGAGACCACACGCUCACACUGUCAUGCACCCAAUUAUACUUCAAUACAUACAUCUGUUCUUUAUGCCUUGCCCCAGCUGGAUGGGAGAAGAUGCAGGCGAGGAAAUGGGAUAGAGGUGAAGACAGUAAGAAGGAACAAUUGCUUACAGUACUUCRUCUCUCUUGGAUUUGUUUCCUGUUUUUUGCCAAUGGAAAUCAAAGAAAAUGGAGGAGGCUUCCCUGCAGUGAUCUUCAGAACUCCUUGUCUUCACCUGGAUAUCGGUCUGGGACUGGCCACACAGGCAUGACUACAGGAUUCCUUCCACAUCAUUUAAUGAAGAGAGAGAGGCAUGUCCAGAAGUGAUUCACUCCAGGGGAUGAGGUGAAUGCAAAGGGAGCUGAGGUGACGUCAAGCAAUUCUGGAAAGCCACGUGGUAAGUUGG
This 523-nucleotide long non-coding RNA is filed under the name Dromaius novaehollandiae (emu). RNAcentral describes it as "lncRNA (ENSDNVG00000015771.1)". The record is from RNAcentral. Lineage: Eukaryota; Metazoa; Chordata; Aves; Casuariiformes; Dromaiidae.